Molecule: long non-coding RNA, 445 nt
Filed under: Mustela putorius furo (domestic ferret)
Lineage: Eukaryota; Metazoa; Chordata; Mammalia; Carnivora; Mustelidae
Description: lncRNA (ENSMPUG00000029155.1)
Source: RNAcentral
GUGAGGUUUAAAUAAACCCUUGUUGAACAUAUUGCCUGGUACAGAGUAAGCACUUAAUACCUAUUACUAUUAUUAUGACAAGUAUAGUGCUUUAUAUUUUACACUUUACAAGGUACUUUCACAUACAGUCUCUCAUUUGAGAUAAUUAGUUCCUGGAUGACAGUACAAAUUUUAUCACAGAAAGAACUACGUGCAAAUAUUUAAUAAGCAUGAUUGCUAUUGGAUUUGCUCAGAUGGAAAAGCAGCAGAUUACAUUCCCUUUGCUUUGAUGUGAGAUCACAAUGUGUUAAAGCUAUCUUUUAUACCCACUUUAUAUUUGGGGAAGAGAAAUGUGAACAAACUUCCUGAAGCCAGGGAGGGCAGUCAGCUCUCUAACCAGCCCUCACUAGAUGAUGCAAUACUCAGAACACGCUAUCUUCUGCUCUGGUGCUCGACGGAUCCUGAA